RNAcentral lists this ribosomal RNA (299 nucleotides) under Clostridioides difficile. RNAcentral's name for it is "partial 16S ribosomal RNA". It matches the Rfam family "Bacterial small subunit ribosomal RNA", at positions 569 to 869 of the family's 1533-position model. The record is from RNAcentral. Lineage: Bacteria; Bacillati; Bacillota; Clostridia; Peptostreptococcales; Peptostreptococcaceae.
GCGUAGGCGGUCUUUCAAGUCAGGAGUGAAAGGCUACGGCUCAACCGUAGUAAGCUCUUGAAACUGGGAGACUUGAGUGCAGGAGAGGAGAGUGGAAUUCCUAGUGUAGCGGUGAAAUGCGUAGAUAUUAGGAGGAACACCAGUUGCGAAGGCGGCUCUCUGGACUGUAACGGACGCUGAGGCACGAAAGCGUGGGGAGCAAACAGGAUUAGAUACCCUGGUAGUCCACGCUGUAAACGAUGAGUACUAGGUGUCGGGGGUUACCCCCUUCGGUGCCGCAGCUAACGCAUUAAGUACUC